AGUAAAGAAGUCAUGUUUUAUGUAAUAGUUAGAUGUGGACAUGUAUUGUAAAAUGAUAUUAUGUGAUGAAAUGUAAAGAAUUGUAUUAAGGAUAGAAUUGUGCUUGGCCCUAGUGUAUGUUAAUCCCUUUUUGAUACAUGAUCUUUUUAAUGAAAGGUUUUAAUGAUGUUUAUGUAAACCAAGCUUAAUGUAUGAUAUGUCACCCCAUUGGAGCAUUUGAUGAGGG
RNAcentral lists this long non-coding RNA (226 nucleotides) under Manihot esculenta (cassava). Its description in RNAcentral is "long non-coding RNA (MESC_LNC010895)". The record is from RNAcentral. Lineage: Eukaryota; Viridiplantae; Streptophyta; Magnoliopsida; Malpighiales; Euphorbiaceae.